ACUGGAACUGCAUUGUGUCUGAUAGUCGAACGGAGGUAGAAAUACCUUAGUGGCGGACGGGUGAGUAGCGGGUGAGAAUCUGCCAACAUGACCGGGACUACAGGGAUGAAACCGCUGCUAAAACCCGAUGUGCCGGAAGGUAAAAAAUUAAUUGCCUUUUGAUGAGCUCGCGUCAGAUUAGCUAGUUGGUGAGGUAAAGGCUCACCAAGGCGACGAUCUGUGGCUGGUCUGAGAGGACGACCAGCCACACUGGGACUGAAACACGGCCCACACUCCUACUGGAGGCAGCAGUGGAGAAUUUUCCGCAAUGGGCGAAAGCCUGAUUGAGCCAUACCGCGUGGGGUAAGAAGGCUCUUGGGUUGGAAACCCCUUUUCUCUCGGAAGAAAAAAAUGACGGUACCUGAGGAAUAAGCAUCUGCUAACUCCGUGCCAGCAGCCGCGGUAAGACGGAGGAUGCAAGCGUUAUCCGGAAUGAUUGGGCGUAAAGCGUCCGCAGGUGGCCAUUCAAGUCUGCUGUCAAAGAGCAAGGCUCAACCUUGCCAAGGCAGUGGAAACUGAAAGGCUAAAGUGCGGUAGGGGUACAGGGAAUUCCCAGUGUAACUGUGAAAUGCGAAUAGAUUGGAAAGAACUGCGGUGGCGAAAGCGCUCUACUGGAGCUGCACUGUCACUGAGGGACCAGAGCUAGGGGAGCGAAUGCUAUUAGAUACCUGAGUAUUCCUAGCCGUAAACGAUGGAAACUACGUGUGGACUGAAUCUACUCGGGCCGUGCCGUAACUAACUCGUUUAGUUUCCCGCCUGGGGAGUACGCACGCAAGUGUGAAACUCAAAGGAAUUGACGGCCGCCCGCACAAGCGGUGGAGUAUGUGGUUUAAUUCGAUGCAACGCGAACACCCUUACCAGGACUUGACAUGUCGCGAAUCCUCUUGAAAGGGAAGAGUGCCCUUAGGAGCGCGAACACAGGUGGUGCAUGGCUGUCGUCAGCUCGUGUCAUGAGAUGUUGAGUCAAGUCCCGCAACGAGCGCAACCCUCCGUCCGUAGUUGCCAUCAUGAAGUUGGGCAACUCUAGGGGAGACUGCCCGGUGACAUACCCGU
This 1092-nucleotide ribosomal RNA is filed under the name Cyanobacteria bacterium LC. Its description in RNAcentral is "bacterial SSU rRNA". It matches the Rfam family "Bacterial small subunit ribosomal RNA", at positions 38 to 1167 of the family's 1533-position model. Lineage: Bacteria; Bacillati; Cyanobacteriota. The record is from RNAcentral.